GAGCGGAGUGAUGAGAAGCUUGCUUCUCGGAUGCUUAGCGGCGGACGGGUGAGUAACACGUAGGCAACCUGCCCUCAAGCUUGGGACAACUACCGGAAACGGUAGCUAAUACCGAAUACAUGAUUUGUUCGCCUGAACGAAUCUGGAAAGACGGAGCAAUCUGUCACUUGAGGAUGGGCCUGCGGCGCAUUAGCUAGUUGGUGAGGUAACGGCUCACCAAGGCGACGAUGCGUAGCCGACCUGAGAGGGUGAUCGGCCACACUGGGACUGAGACACGGCCCAGACUCCUACGGGAGGCAGCAGUAGGGAAUCUUCCGCAAUGGACGCAAGUCUGACGGAGCAACGCCGCGUGAGUGAUGAAGGUUUUCGGAUCGUAAAGCUCUGUUGCCAGGGAAGAACGUCCGAUAGAGUAACUGCUAUCGGAGUGACGGUACCUGAGAAGAAAGCCCCGGCUAACUACGUGCCAGCAGCCGCGGUAAUACGUAGGGGGCAAGCGUUGUCCGGAAUUAUUGGGCGUAAAGCGCGCGCAGGCGGCUUUUUAAGUCCGGUGUCACAGCCCAAGGCUCAACCUUGGGUCGCACUGGAAACUGGAGAGCUUGAGUACAGAAGAGGAAAGUGGAAUUCCACGUGUAGCGGUGAAAUGCGUAGAGAUGUGGAGGAACACCAGUGGC
RNAcentral lists this ribosomal RNA (671 nucleotides) under bacterium bxyn2. Its description in RNAcentral is "bacterial SSU rRNA". It matches the Rfam family "Bacterial small subunit ribosomal RNA", at positions 64 to 716 of the family's 1533-position model. The record is from RNAcentral.